This 254-nucleotide ribosomal RNA is filed under the name uncultured bacterium. RNAcentral describes it as "partial 16S ribosomal RNA". It matches the Rfam family "Bacterial small subunit ribosomal RNA", at positions 524 to 776 of the family's 1533-position model. The record is from RNAcentral.
UACAGAGGGGGCAAGCGUUGUUCGGAAUUACUGGGCGUAAAGGGCGCGUAGGUGGCCUUCUAAGUUGAACGUGAAAUCCCUGGGCUCAACCCAGGAACUGCGUCCAAGACUGGGAGGCUUGAAUCCGGGAGAGGGAUGCGGAAUUCCAGGUGUAGCGGUGAAAUGCGUAGAUAUCUGGAGGAAUACCGGUGGCGAAGGCGGCAUCCUGGACCGACAUUGACGCUGAUGAGCGAAAAGCUAGGGGAGCAAACGGG